UAGCUCAGCUGGGAGAGCAUCUGCCUUACAAGCAGAGGGUCGGCGGUUCGAUCCCGUC
RNAcentral lists this transfer RNA (58 nucleotides) under Bacillus licheniformis. Its description in RNAcentral is "tRNA-Val". It matches the Rfam family "tRNA", at positions 8 to 63 of the family's 71-position model. Rfam says of the family: Transfer RNA (tRNA) molecules are approximately 80 nucleotides in length. Their secondary structure includes four short double-helical elements and three loops (D, anti-codon, and T loops). The record is from RNAcentral. Lineage: Bacteria; Bacillati; Bacillota; Bacilli; Caryophanales; Bacillaceae.